AUGUAAAUUUUUGUAUGAAGUUUUGUUUAUUUUAAUAAUUAAUAAUUAAAAAAUAAUCUCAGUAAUUAAUUUUAUAUAUCAAGGAAACUUGGAGUUAGUAAUUUCAUUUAGUAUUGGUUAAAUUUGUGCCAGCAUCCGCGGUUAUACAAAUAAUACAAGUAAAAUUUAUUCGAUGAAAGUUUAAUAAAAAAUAAAUAUAAAUUUAUAAGGUGAAAUUUUAAAUUUAUAAAAUUUUUAUAUCAUGAAUUUAUAAUCUUAUAAAUUUUUUUUAAAAACUAGGAUUAGAUACCCUAUUAUUAUAAAUUUAAAUUUAAACAUCAAAGUAGUAUUAGUUAUGUUCUUGAAACUUAAAAAAUUUGGCGGUAUUUUAGUCUAUUCAGAGGAACCUGUUCUAUAAUUGAUAAUCCACGAUGUACCUUACUUAAAUUUGUUUUCAGUUUAUAUACCGUCGUUAUCAGAAUAUUUUAUUAGAAUAAUAAUUUUCAAUAAUUUUUAUUAGAAUGUAUAUCAGAUCAAGGUGUAGCUUAUAUUUAAGGAGAGAUGGGUUACAAUAAAUUUAUUUAAAUGAAUUUAAAUUUGAAAUAUUUAAUGAAAAUGGAUUUGAUAGUAAAAUUUUAAAGAAUAAAAGUUUGAUUUUAGCUCUAAAAUAUGUACACAUCGCCCGUCACUCUUAUUUUUAAAAUAAGAUAAGUCGUAACAUAGUAGAUGUA
RNAcentral lists this ribosomal RNA (710 nucleotides) under Gymnocarena mexicana. RNAcentral's name for it is "partial 12S ribosomal RNA". The record is from RNAcentral. Lineage: Eukaryota; Metazoa; Arthropoda; Insecta; Diptera; Tephritidae.